CCGAGUUUACAACUCCCAAACCCCUGUGAACAUACCUAUACGUUGCCUCGGCGGAUCAGCCCGCGCCCCGUAAAAAGGGACGGCCCGCCCGGGGACCCCUAAACUCUGUUUUUAGUGGAACUUCUGAGCAAAACAAACAAAUAAAUCA
This 148-nucleotide unclassified non-coding RNA is filed under the name soil metagenome. RNAcentral describes it as "partial internal transcribed spacer 1". The record is from RNAcentral.